AGUGAACGCUGGCGGUAGACCUAACACAUGCAAGUCGAACGGCAGCACAGUAAGAGCUUGCUCUUACGGGUGGCGAGUGGCGGACGGGUGAGGAAUACAUCGGAAUCUACUUUUUCGUGGGGGAUAACGUAGGGAAACUUACGCUAAUACCGCAUACGACCUACGGGUGAAAGCAGGGGAUCUUCGGACCUUGCGCGAUUGAAUGAGCCGAUGUCGGAUUAGCUAGUUGGCGGGGUAAAGGCCCACCAAGGCGACGAUCCGUAGCUGGUCUGAGAGGAUGAUCAGCCACACUGGAACUGAGACACGGUCCAGACUCCUACGGGAGGCAGCAGUGGGGAAUAUUGGACAAUGGGAGCAAGCCUGAUCCAGCCAUACCGCGUGGGUGAAGAAGGCCUUCGGGUUGUAAAGCCCUUUUGUUGGGAAAGAAAAGCAGCAGGUUAAUACCCCGCUGUUCUGACGGUACCCAAAGAAUAAGCACCGGCUAACUUCGUG
This 492-nucleotide ribosomal RNA is filed under the name uncultured bacterium. RNAcentral describes it as "partial 16S ribosomal RNA". It matches the Rfam family "Bacterial small subunit ribosomal RNA", at positions 29 to 507 of the family's 1533-position model. The record is from RNAcentral.